GAUGAAGAACGCAGCGAAAUGCGAUAAGUAAUGUGAAUUGCAGAAUUCAGUGAAUCAUCGAAUCUUUGAACGCACAUUGCGCCCGCCAGUAUUCUGGCGGGCAUGCCUGUUCGAGCGUCAUUACAACCCUCAGGCCCCCGGGCCUGGCGUUGGGGGUCGGCGGAAGCCCCCUGCGGGCACAACGCCGUCCCCCAAAUACAGUGGCGGUCCCGCCGCAGCUUCCAUUGCGUAGUAGCUAACACCUCGCAACUGGAGAGCGGCGCGGCCACGCCGUAAAACACCCAACUUCUGAAUGUUGACCUCGAAUCAGGUAGGAAUACCCGCUGAACUUAAGCAUAUCAAUAAGCGGAGGA
This 353-nucleotide unclassified non-coding RNA is filed under the name soil metagenome. RNAcentral's name for it is "partial contains 5.8S ribosomal RNA, internal transcribed spacer 2, and large subunit ribosomal RNA". The stretch from base 1 to 120 matches the Rfam family "5.8S ribosomal RNA", at positions 35 to 154 of the family's 154-position model. The record is from RNAcentral.